Molecule: long non-coding RNA, 227 nt
Organism: Pipistrellus kuhlii (Kuhl's pipistrelle)
Lineage: Eukaryota; Metazoa; Chordata; Mammalia; Chiroptera; Vespertilionidae
Exons: 3
Source: RefSeq, a predicted model, not a curated record
UGGGGGAGGAGGGAAGCACGGAUAAAGCCUCCUUGGAGGGACCCCAGCCUUCCCUUCGGUCAGUGUGGGUCAGCGGAGGUGCUUUGGGGGGACCACUCUGGCCAGAACAGGAGGCCCCCAUGGUCCCUACACACACUCACUUGCUCCAGGUUGUCUGGGUCUCACCAAUAGGAACGCAGACAGGUGACCGGUCACCUUAGAGAGCCUAACUCCUCAGAGCCCCCGUG